RNAcentral lists this ribosomal RNA (483 nucleotides) under uncultured bacterium. RNAcentral's name for it is "partial 16S ribosomal RNA". It matches the Rfam family "Bacterial small subunit ribosomal RNA", at positions 30 to 506 of the family's 1533-position model. The record is from RNAcentral.
AUUGAACGCUGGCGGCAUGCCUUACACAUGCAAGUCGAACGGCAGCACGGACUUCGGUCUGGUGGCGAGUGGCGAACGGGUGAGUAAUGUAUCGGAACGUACCUUUCAGUGGGGGAUAACGUAGCGAAAGUUACGCUAAUACCGCAUAUUCUGUGAGCAGGAAAGCAGGGGAUCGAAAGACCUUGCGCUGAUUGAGCGGCCGAUAUCAGAUUAGCUAGUUGGUGGGGUAAAGGCCUACCAAGGCGACGAUCUGUAGCGGGUCUGAGAGGAUGAUCCGCCACACUGGAAGUGAGACACGGUCCAGACUCCUACGGGAGGCAGCAGUGGGGAAUGUUGGAAAAGGGGGGCAACCCUGAACCAGCCAUGCAGCGUGGGUGAAGAAGGCCUUCGGGUUGUAAAGCUCUUUCGGCCGGGAAGAAAUCGCAUAGGCUAAUACCCUGUGUGGAUGACGGUACCGGAAUAAGAAGCACCGGCUAACUACGU